RNAcentral lists this ribosomal RNA (442 nucleotides) under uncultured Chloroflexota bacterium. RNAcentral's name for it is "uncultured Chloroflexi bacterium partial 16S ribosomal RNA". The record is from RNAcentral. Lineage: Bacteria; Bacillati; Chloroflexota.
GACUACUGGGGUAUCUAAGCCCGUUCGCUCCCCACGCUUUCGCACCUGAGCGUCAGGUAUGGGCCAGGAAGCCGCUUUCGCCACUGGUGUUCCUCCCGAUAUCUACGCAUUCCACCACUACACCGGGAAUUCCGCUUCCCUCUCCCAACCUCAAGCUAUGCAGUAUCGAACGACCUCUCCCAGUUGAGCCAGGAGCUUUCACGUCCGACUUACAUAACCGCCUGCGUGCGCUUUACGCCCAGUGAAUCCGGAUAACGCUUGCCUCCUACGUAUUACCGCGGCUGCUGGCACGUAGUUAGCCGAGACUUAUUCCUGGGAUACCGUCCUUGUCUCUUCUCCCAGAAAAGAGGUUUACAACCCGAAGGCCUUCAUCCCUCACGCGGCGUUGCUGGGUCAGGCUUUCGCCCAUUGCCCAAUAUUCCUCACUGCAGCCGCCCGUAGG